RNAcentral lists this ribosomal RNA (164 nucleotides) under Ignavibacteriaceae bacterium. RNAcentral's name for it is "partial 16S ribosomal RNA". It matches the Rfam family "Bacterial small subunit ribosomal RNA", at positions 1 to 165 of the family's 1533-position model. Lineage: Bacteria; Pseudomonadati; Ignavibacteriota; Ignavibacteria; Ignavibacteriales; Ignavibacteriaceae. The record is from RNAcentral.
UACGGAGAGUUUGAUCCUGGCUCAGGACGAACGCUGGCGGCGUGCUUAACACAUGCAAGUCUACGAGAAUAAGGUAGCAAUAUCUUUAGUAAAGUGGCGCACGGGUGAGUAACACGUAAGUAAUCUACCCUUAGAUUUGGAAUAACCCCGAGAAAUCGGGGCUA